GACGAACCGAGCGAACGUUAUUCGGAAUCACUGGGCUUAAAGGGCGCGUAGGCGGGCGGCCAAGUCAGGGGUGAAAGCCCCCAGCUCAACUGGGGAAGUGCCUCUGAUACUGGUCAUCUCGGGGGAGAUAGGGGCGUGCGGAACUUCCGGUGGAGCGGUGAAAUGCGUAGAUAUCGGAAGGAACACCGGUGGCGAAAGCGGCGCGCUGGAUCUCUUCUGACGCUGAGGCGGCGAAAGCCAGGGGAGCGAACGGGG
RNAcentral lists this ribosomal RNA (255 nucleotides) under uncultured bacterium. RNAcentral's name for it is "partial 16S ribosomal RNA". It matches the Rfam family "Bacterial small subunit ribosomal RNA", at positions 524 to 777 of the family's 1533-position model. The record is from RNAcentral.